This 261-nucleotide long non-coding RNA is filed under the name Mytilus galloprovincialis (Mediterranean mussel). Lineage: Eukaryota; Metazoa; Mollusca; Bivalvia; Mytilida; Mytilidae. The record is from RNAcentral.
ACAUACCCUCGUCAUCCGAUAGAACCAGACCAAUCGGCUGUACAAAGCCUUAUAAAUGUCCCAGAACAAGCAAACAACAGGAAUGCUGUUCUGAUGAUGAACCAUUCGACAGUGGAAUGAACUGCAAGAGGCAACAUCAUUACAGACGAUACAGUAGGUCAGUUGGAUCGUCAGUUGGGAUAUGAUAAGAUGAAAAGCAGUUAUAAUAAACACGAUUGAGGCUUUGACAGAUCCAUGAAAUAAAAGCCAAUAAAAUCAAAA